AGCUAUGGCCUGGCAGAGGAGGAGCAAUCUCGGUAUCUCAGCCCUGAGCUCCGGGUAAGCUCAUUAAAAGCUGCGACUCAGCUGAGGUUUUCCGUAAUCCCCAGGUGAAUUGGAAGAUAAAUGGGUUAUAUAAGUUUGUGAAAGCCACAGAGUUAAGGAACUUUUCUGGGACGGUGACAGACUUCACUUAACACCUUGGAGACAUAGUAAAAUUUCUGCAGGGGCUGUGCCCCAUGGCUGUGGCCCUGCUCUAACCCAGCCCUCUCAAACGGGACAAAGGAAAAGGCUGCUGAAAAGGGACACGGGGAAGGCGCAGACCCAACCAGCAGCGUAUGCAGUACCAGAAGGACCAGAAGAAAUGAUGAAAUUAUGGCUCUUUAUGUGUCAAGAAACACUGUACAGGCAAGUCCUUGAG
Zonotrichia leucophrys gambelii is the source of this 415-nucleotide long non-coding RNA. RefSeq lists it as uncharacterized. The transcript has 3 exons. Lineage: Eukaryota; Metazoa; Chordata; Aves; Passeriformes; Passerellidae. The record is from RefSeq and is a predicted model, not a curated record.